Molecule: ribosomal RNA, 439 nt
Filed under: uncultured bacterium
Lineage: Bacteria
Description: partial 16S ribosomal RNA
Rfam family: Bacterial small subunit ribosomal RNA
Source: RNAcentral
CUACGGGAGGCAGCAGUGGGGAAUAUUGCACAAUGGGGGAAACCCUGAUGCAGCGACGCCGCGUGAGUGAAGAAGUAUUUCGGUAUGUAAAGCUCUAUCAGCAGGGAAGAAAAUGACGGUACCUGACUAAGAAGCCCCGGCUAACUACGUGCCAGCAGCCGCGGUAAUACGUAGGGGGCAAGCGUUAUCCGGAUUUACUGGGUGUAAAGGGAGCGUAGACGGUUAUGCAAGUCUGGAGUGAAAUCCCGGGGCUCAACCCCGGAACUGCUUUGGAAACUGUAAAACUAGAGUGCAGGAGAGGUAAGUGGAAUUCCUAGUGUAGCGGUGAAAUGCGUAGAUAUUAGGAGGAACACCAGUGGCGAAGGCGGCUUACUGGACUGUAACUGACGUUGAGGCUCGAAAGCGUGGGGAGCAAACAGGAUUAGAUACCCGUGUAGUC